RNAcentral lists this ribosomal RNA (509 nucleotides) under uncultured bacterium. Its description in RNAcentral is "bacterial SSU rRNA". It matches the Rfam family "Bacterial small subunit ribosomal RNA", at positions 8 to 518 of the family's 1533-position model. The record is from RNAcentral.
AGGGUUCGAUUCUGGCUCAGGAUGAACGCUGGCGGCGUGCUUAACACAUGCAAGUCGAACGGACGAUGAUGAGAAGCUUGCUUUUUGUCAAAGUUAGUGGCGGACGGGUGAGUAACGCGUGAGCAACCUACCUUUUCAGUGGGGGGAUAACGUCUGGAAACAGACGCUAAUACCGCAUAAGAUGAUAAUAUCGCAUGGUAAAGUCAUCAAAGGAGCAAUCCGCUGAGAGAUGGGCUCGCGUCCGAUUAGAUAGUUGGUAGGGUAAAGGCCUACCAAGUCAACGAUCGGUAGCCGGACUGAGAGGUUGAACGGCCACAUUGGGACUGAGACACGGCCCAGACUCCUACGGGAGGCAGCAGUGGGGAAUAUUGCACAAUGGGCGAAAGCCUGAAUGCAGCAACGCCGCGUGAGGGAAGACGGUUUUCGGAUUGUAAACCUCUGUCUUCGGUGACGAAACAAAUGACGGUAGCCGAGGAGGAAGCCACGGCUAACUACGUGCCAGCAGCUGC